RNAcentral lists this transfer RNA (57 nucleotides) under Loxodonta africana (African savanna elephant). It matches the Rfam family "tRNA", at positions 8 to 63 of the family's 71-position model. From Rfam's summary of the family: Transfer RNA (tRNA) molecules are approximately 80 nucleotides in length. Their secondary structure includes four short double-helical elements and three loops (D, anti-codon, and T loops). Lineage: Eukaryota; Metazoa; Chordata; Mammalia; Proboscidea; Elephantidae. The record is from Rfam by way of RNAcentral.
UGACUUAGUGGUUAAGUGCUCAGCUGCUGACUGAAGGGUUGGUGGUUCAAACCCACC